Molecule: unclassified non-coding RNA, 377 nt
Filed under: uncultured Euzebyaceae bacterium
Lineage: Bacteria; Bacillati; Actinomycetota; Nitriliruptoria; Euzebyales; Euzebyaceae
Description: contains 16S-23S intergenic spacer region
Source: RNAcentral
UCCGGUUUGGCACCGGCAGUCUCCCAUGAGUCCCCGGCUUUACCCGCUGGCAACAUGGAACAGGGGUUGCGCUCGUUGCGCCACUUAAGGCAACACCUCACGGCACGAGCUGACGACAACCAUGCACCACCUGUGCACGGCCCCGAAGGACACCGCAUCUCUGCGGCUUUUCCGUGCAUUUCAAGCCCUGGUAAGGUUCUUCGCGUUGCGUCGAAUUAAGCCACAUGCUCCGCCGCUUGUGCGGGCCCCCGUCAAUUCCUUUGAGUUUUAACCUUGCGGUCGUAAUCCCCAGGCGAGGUGCUUAAUGCGUUAGCUGCGGCACGGUAGGCGUCGAUAGCCUCCCACACCUAGCACCCAUCGUUUACGGCUGGGACUAC